GUUCUGCACCGGCGGGGGCGGGGCUCUGCGUGGCCGGGGCGGGCUCGGGAUCCGCGGGGCUACUCCUGGUCUGGCCUGGGCAGGCUGCCCGGGCCGUGGCAGGAAGCCGGAAGCAGCCGCGGCCCCAGUUCGGGAGACAUGGCGGGCGUUAAAGCUCUUGUGGCAUUAUCCUUCAGUGGGGCUAUUGGACUGACUUUUCUUAUGCUGGGAUGUGCCUUAGAGGAUUAUGGAUCAAAUGGGGAGCCUGUGGCCUUGUGUUGGCAGGCAAUGCAGUCAUUUUCCUUACAAUUCAAGGGUUUUUCCUUAUAUUUGGAAGAGGAGAUGAUUUUAGCUGGGAGCAGUGGUAGCACUUUAUUCUGAUUACAGUGCAUUGAAUUUCUUAGAACUCAUACUAUCUGUAUACAUGUGCACAUGCAGCAUUUUACUAUGAAAUUUAAUAUGCUGGGUUUUUUAAUACCUUUAUAUCACGUUCACUUUAAGGAAGACUUCA
Molecule: small RNA, 490 nt
Filed under: Pongo abelii (Sumatran orangutan)
Lineage: Eukaryota; Metazoa; Chordata; Mammalia; Primates; Hominidae
Description: processed transcript
Source: RNAcentral